AAUUGUGGUGGUUUCUUUCUGGCUCAUUUGUUAAGUUUUCAAAUAGGCCUGAUUCUGCCACAUACAUUAUAUAGGAGCUGGCACUGACUUAAAAACAGAGAGAUCUUUCUUAAGUUUUUCCUGCGUCAGAGAUUGGCUCCCACAAGU
Molecule: small nucleolar RNA, 147 nt
Organism: Ictidomys tridecemlineatus (thirteen-lined ground squirrel)
Lineage: Eukaryota; Metazoa; Chordata; Mammalia; Rodentia; Sciuridae
Source: Ensembl